AUGAUGUUUACAUAGUCGAUGAGGAUGGGAAGGGUAGAGGAUUUGGAGAAAGUGGGUGAGACCAUUGUUUCCAAAUUUUCUUUUUUCUUCCUUCUGUGUCUGAGUGA
Long non-coding RNA from Ochotona curzoniae (black-lipped pika), 107 nucleotides. RefSeq lists it as uncharacterized. The record is from RefSeq and is a predicted model, not a curated record. The transcript is spliced from 3 exons. NCBI's taxonomy places the organism in Eukaryota, Metazoa, Chordata, Mammalia, Lagomorpha, Ochotonidae.